This 915-nucleotide ribosomal RNA is filed under the name uncultured bacterium. RNAcentral describes it as "bacterial SSU rRNA". It matches the Rfam family "Bacterial small subunit ribosomal RNA", at positions 10 to 905 of the family's 1533-position model. The record is from RNAcentral.
AGUUUGAUCCUGGCUCANAAUGAACGCUGGCGGCAGGCUUAACACAUGCAAGUCGAACGGUAACAGAAGAAAGCUUGCUUUCUUGCUGACGAGUGGCGGACGGGUGAGUAAUGUAUGGGAAUCUGCCCUCUAGUUGGGGACAACAUAUGGAAACGUAUGCUAAUACCGAAUGUGAUCUACGGAUUAAAGGUGCCCUCUCCUUGGAAGGUAUCGCUAGAGGAUGAGCCCAUAUUANAUUAGCUAGUUGGUGGGGUAAAGGCCUACCAAGGCGACGAUCUAUAGCUGGUUUGAGAGGAUGAUCAGCCACACUGGGACUGAGACACGGCCCAGACUCCUACGGGAGGCAGCAGUGGGGAAUAUUGCACAAUGAGGGAAACCCUUGAUGCAGCCAUGCCGCGUGUGUGAAGAAGGCCCGAGGGUUGUAAAGCACUUUCAAUUGUGAGGAAAGCUAAGUAGCUAAUACCUGCUUAGNGUGACGNUUAACUUUAGAAGAAGCACCGGCUAAACUCUGGUGCCAGCAGCCCGCCGGUAAUACAGNGGGUGCAAGCGUUAUUCGGAAUUACUGGGCGUAAAGCGCGCGUAGGCGGACUGUUAAGUCGGUUGUGAAAGCCCUGGGCUCAACCUAGGAAUUGCAUCCGAUACUGGCAGUCUAGAGUUUAAGAGAGGGAAGGGGAAUUCCAGGUGUAGCAGUGAAAUGCGUAGAUAUCUGGAGGAACAUCAGUGGCGAAGGCGCCUUCCUGGCUUAAAACUGACGCUGAGGUGCGAAAGCGUGGGUAGCGAACGGGAUUAGAUACCCCGGUAGUCCACGCCGUAAACGAUGUCAACUAGCUGUUGGCCUUAUUAAAAAGGUUAGUAGCGAAGCUAACGCGAUAAGUUGACCGCCUGGGGAGUACGGUCGCAAGAUUAAAACUCAAA